Molecule: ribosomal RNA, 468 nt
Filed under: uncultured bacterium
Lineage: Bacteria
Description: partial 16S ribosomal RNA
Rfam family: Bacterial small subunit ribosomal RNA
Source: RNAcentral
GACGAACGCUGGCGGCGUGCUUAACACAUGCAAGUCGAACGGAAAGGCCCUGCUUUUGUGGGGUGCUCGAGUGGCGAACGGGUGAGUAACACGUGAGUAACCUGCCCUUGAAUUUGGGAUAACUUCAGGAAACUGGGGCUCAUACCGGAUAGGAGCUCCUGCUGCAUGGUGGGGGUUGGAAAGUUUCGGCGGUUGGGGAUGGACUCGCGGCUUAUCAGCUUGUUGGUGGGGUAGUGGCUUACCAAGGCUUGGACGGGUAGCCGGCCUGAGAGGGUGACCGGCCACAUUGGGACUGAGAUACGGCCCAGACUCCUACGGGAGGCAGCAGUGGGGAGUAUGGCACAAUGGGCGGAAGCCUGAUGCAGCAACGCCGCGUGCGGGAUGACGGCCUUCGGGUUGUAAACCGCUUUGGCCUGUGACGAAGCGUGAGUGACGGUAAUGGGUAAAGAAGCACCGGCUAACUACGUG